This 533-nucleotide ribosomal RNA is filed under the name uncultured Suillus. Its description in RNAcentral is "eukaryotic LSU rRNA". The stretch from base 111 to 267 matches the Rfam family "5.8S ribosomal RNA". The record is from RNAcentral. Lineage: Eukaryota; Fungi; Basidiomycota; Agaricomycetes; Boletales; Suillaceae.
CCCUGUCGUGCUUCAUAUACCUCUUCUGCUGUAUAAAGUCUUUGAACGUUUUUAUCAUCGUCGAGUCGCGACUUCCAGGAGACGCGAUUCUUCGAGACAAAAGUUAUUACAACUUUCAGCAUAUGGAUCUCUUGGCUCUCGCAUCGAUGAAGAACUGCAGCGAAUCGCGAUAUGUAAUGUGAAUUGCAGAUCUACAGUGAAUCAUCGAAUCUUUGAACGCACCUUGCGCUCCUCGGUGUUCCGAGGAGCAUGCCUGUUCGAGCGUCAGUAAUAUUCUCAACCCCUCUCGAUUAGCUUCGAGCCGGGGCUUGGAUCCUGGGGGCUGCCGGAGACCUGUUUUUCAGGACUCGGGCUCCUCUGAAAUGCAUCGGCUUGCGGUCGACUUUUCGACUUUGCGCGACAAGGCUUUCGGCGUGAUAAUGAUCGCCGUUCGCCGAAGCGCAUGAAUGAAACCCGUCCCGCGCCUCUAUCCGUCGACGACCUUUCGGGUCGUCUUCCUUAUAGACGUUUGACCUCGAAUCAGGUAGGACUAC